Molecule: long non-coding RNA, 17333 nt
Filed under: Capsicum annuum
Lineage: Eukaryota; Viridiplantae; Streptophyta; Magnoliopsida; Solanales; Solanaceae
Description: long non-coding RNA (CANN_LNC006123)
Source: RNAcentral
GUUGAUCGAAGUGAAAUUUAUGAGAUUGGGGAAGCGGAUAACUCUAUUUGCCCGGAAGAACACUAUGGUCUGGGGAGUGAAACUCCUGUGUAUUGUCUAAGAACACCACUCCGUCCAUGGAUGACUCCAGCAAGAGAUGCACCUGCAAAACCUAUUCAUGAAGAAAUGAGAACACCUAUACGAAGUUGAGCAUGGAAUCCUUGCAGCUAAUUGUAGUACUUAGUAUUCUUUUAGUCCUUACUUAUUCCUAGUUUCUUCUUUCUGAAUGUAAACACACAUUACGUUUACUCUGCAAUAUAAUAUUUGGUAGUUCGAUAUGCAGAGUUGGUUUUACGCUAAUGGCAACAUUUAUAAGAGUGAUAAAAGAACAGGUUCUAAUGAAUCUAAAGUAGUAACAAAACUAGUGCUACUGUAUAUCAUUCUUUCUACAGUGAAAUACUGAUUUCUCAUUCCAGAAGAUGUUUCAAUUUCUGUUUUUAUAUAUGCAGAACAGAUGUUUCAUGGAAAUUGAACUAAGAUGCUUGACUUAUUACAAAGACACUUCUUCUUGUGCCAGUAUUUUAUAAGUGCAAGCUUCCUAAAGUAAAAUACAGUGGUUUCAUUUCAUAUUUUAUUAAUAGGUGCAUUUGGAAUCGAUUGAAGUUGUAUUACUGAUAAUUGAUUUUCAUGUCACAGUGUUCGGCAACUUAAAAAGGGAGGACAAGCAGAUAGCAGCUGUCUCCUUUACGUGGACGUAGAAGCUGUGGCAACAUUGCUACUUUUCUCCUUAUUCCAUGAUGUCAUUUCAGGUCUUCUGGCAGCACUAGGUCUCUAUUGUGGCUUCGCAAAAACGAACCCAAGACUUUGAUUCCUAUAUAUAUGCAUCUGCUUGGCCUGUGGCAACAAAUACCACCCAUUACUAGGUCAGUUGUACUCGUCUUCUCAUAAGUUAUUACUGAUGAAGUAAGAAAAUCUUAAGAACCAGCUGCUUUACCUGAAUGACACGUUGAAAUCUCUUUUGUUAUAACUUGAGUAGGCUGACAUUUCUUAAAUGCUGGCAUUGAGAAAUUGAAAGGCUAUUUUUACCUCAGUUAGCUGGAAUUUUUGUCUCAUAACAUAAGCCAAGUCUAUCUUUGGAAGGUCAAAUAUCCUGGAACAACUUUCAUCUAAAUGUAGUUCCGUAGAAUUGCUCUCUGUCUAGAAUGAUUCUCUUGAAAAUAUAUGAAUUAUAUGCCAUGACAAAUCACCUAUUUGGUCACAUUUUUUCGAUGUCAGAUGUUCUUAACAGUCAAAUUUUCCAGUUUUAAAUUUUUAAGCAAACUGUAGCAUACUCAACUUCUUAAAAGAUAUAUAAUUCAAGCAAAAACUCAGCCUUUUCUGUGGACAUACAGCACACUAACGGAAUUUGAACUUCAAAUUACCAGAAAUACCAUGGUCAAAAAGCAUCUACUCAACUAUCGAAAACACCAAAUGACACAAACAUUUGAUUCCCCUAGGACCGCAACUUGGCAUUAGCUCGAGCACUCCGUGUUCUAGAUGUUGAAGUCGAAGCAAGCGUAGUUUUCUUUUCUGUUAGGGGCUCACACUCAUUAUGUGUAGAAGAUGCAUUAGUGUCCGCAGAUGUUGAAGUCGAUGCAAGUGUUUUCUUUUUUCCUGGGGGCUCAUACUCAUCAUGUGAAGAAGAUUUACUAGUGUCCUCUGAUGUCGGAGUCGCUGCAAGGUUAGGUUUCUUUGUUGGAGGGGCCUCAUACACAUCGCGUGAAGAAUAUUCUCUAGGUGUAUGCCUCUUUGUCCUGCUUCUACUUGCAACAUCAGCGUGCUCACAUUUUUUGACGAAACAUGAAGCUUCUUUCUCGCACAAGCUCUGCCUAUCAAACACUGAAACAUCAAACCUCGAUCCAUUAUACUUGAAUAUUAACAAGUCAUCUUCCUCUAGGGAAUGGGCGUCCACGAAUUCUUUCCACCCAUCUUUGAGGAAUAAUGCAUCUCCAAUUAGAGUCAGUCUGACAUUCCAAGUUGCACCACUAGGUCCUGUCAGACUAACAGAAUCUCCUAGCUUUUCUCUCAGAUUGUUGGCAAAUUUUUUGGGAAUGGCCUACAAUUUCAUCAUUUCUUGUUAAGAUUCACGUUUGGUGUAAAAUAAACUAGCUAAGAUGGAAUCCAAAUAAAUCAAAAGGAGCAAAUAGAAACAUGGAAAGUUUUCUAGUCUGCAACAACACACACACAGAGUAAAGGUUAAGGUUUGUACUUGGAAUAUUUUUUUCCCGGAUAGUGAAAAUCACUGAAGGGGAGCCUUGGAGUAACUGGUAAAGUUGCUGCCAUGUGACCGGUAGGUCACGGGUUCAAGCCUUGGAAACAGCCCCUUGGAAACAGCCCCUGACAAAAAUGCAAGGUAAGGCUGUGUACAAUAGACCCUUGUGGUGGGGCUCUUCCCCGGACACCGCGCAGAGCGGCAGCUUAGUGCACCGGGCUGCCGUUUAUAGUGAAAAUCACUAUGAACAAGGCAUCGAACUAACAUAUAGUAACACGAAAACAAUACUAUUGUUACAACAACCCAAGAUAGAAUGGGACAUUUAAACAACUAUAGUCAUAACAAAUUAUUUUCCUCGUAAUGAUGCAGAAAGCAACAAUUGACAAGUAAACCAUGAUGUUUCACAUUUAAAUUUCAGGGGAGGCAACUCAUUAUGUUAGGUGAUUUCUUUUCAUAUGUGCAAACCUUGGUGGAUAGUGUUACCAUAUUGUAGGGGAGUUGAUUUGUUAGAUGGUCAUUCAUUUAAUAAUUAUUAUUUUAGAAAGUCAGAUAAUAACUAUAGCUCAAUAACCAUAUGCGAAAUCAAUUCCCUGUGGGAUGUUCAUAAUUCGGUUAAAAAUUGAUCCAAUAGGAUUAAACAAACCAAUACUUUUAGAGGUUGAGUCAGAUUUUUAAUUUUAAAAAUCGACAACAAUAUUUGAUUUGAUUUUAUUAAAAAAACUAAAGCAGAAAUCGAACUAAACAGAAAAUUAAAUACAUAAUAUUAUAAUUAUAUAUACACAGUAUGUUUUCUUGUUAAAUUUGACAUAUCUUAUAUUUUUUUGGUCAAAAAUUUAUUUAUGAUUCAAUAAUUAUUAAGUUAAGAAAAAAAUCUUAGUCUCAAAAUUUAAUAUAAUUGCCCAACCAUAGUCGUGCUAUGUUAUUUUAUUGAUUUUGAUGAUUGUAUCUCUAUUUGAAAAGGAAAAAGGGUGUUUCAAAUUGAAUUCAAUAAAUUUACAAUUCAUCUCUCCAUUUUCUAUAAAAGGAAGGUGGGAGCAUAAUUUCGUUCCCAAUAGGGAUCUUGUUUUUUUUUUUUUUUGCCUUUUCAUUUUUUCUCAUCCGAACAUCACAACUGUAUCAACAACAACAUACCAAGUAUAUUUCAACAACGUGGAGCCUGAGAAUGGUAAAGCGUAUACAGUCUCUCCUCGUGAUCCCUGCUCCCCACAAACUUCGCAUAAGCAACCUUCUUAGUCUCCACCUUCCUCUUAACUUCUUCGUUCCACCACUAGUCCCCCCAGUCCCCCCGUUGCUUGCCCGAUCGGACUCUCGAGACACACAAUACCUCUCUAGCUGUCUCACCGAUGCAACUGAUAGUAAUCUCCCACAUACUAUCCACAUCCCCUCUAUUCUCCCAAGCCCCUUGGUCGGCAACUUCUCUCCAAUCUCCACCGCACUUGCCAAAGUCAAGCUACCUCACUUAAUUCUGGGUUGAUCCUCCAUAACCCUCUUCAUUUCCCCAUCUUGAUUUCCAAGUCCAACACCAAAAGCUUAUGUUAGAUCAAAAAGAUUCUCACUAGGUAUGACCAUACAGUCUUUACAUAGCACUCAACACUCUAUCACUCUUUCUAAGGAGCAAAAAAUCUAUUUGAAUCUCGGCCAUCGAACUACGAAAAUUAAUAAGGUGCUCUUCCUCCUUUGCGAAGAACGAAUUUACUAUCACCAAACCAAGGGCCCUAGAAAAAUCAAAAAAUGAGGCUCCUCCUCCAUUUCUUUUCCAGAAACUGAAUCCUCCCUACACAUCAUCACAACCUCUCGAUAAUAACCCGAUAUGCCCAUUGAAAUCGUCUUCUAUGAAAGGUUUCUCAGCGCUUGGAACGCCUCUCACCACCUCGUCCAGAAUCUCCAAAAUGCUCAUUUUCUCUUACUCAUCCAAGCCUAUUUGCCGAGUAUAUAUAGGCACUAAUAACGUUCCACGUAGACUCUCUAAUGACCAACUUAAUCGACAUCAACCUAUCAUUGACCCGCUUAACCUUCACCGCCUACCCCCUAAGCUCUUCAUCUAUUAAGAUACCUACCCCAUUCCUAUGCCUCACGCUACCCCAUUCCUAUGCCUCACGCUACGAGAGCACCACAACUUGUACCCAUUCACAUCCUUCGCCUUAGACCCUACCCAUUUGGUCUCCUGGACACAAGCUAUACCAAUCCUCUUCUUCCUAAGAAUCUUCAUGAGAUAUAUAGACUUACCUUGAAGAGUUCCUAUGUUUCAAAACCCAACUUUCAACCUAUAGGCUCCCUUAUCACACUUAUCCCUACUACCCUUCACCUCCAAUCCAAGCUCGACCCUGACCCUGACCUCAGCCUGAACCUCAAUCUCAGCCCCAACCCCGACCAAUGACAUGACCCUAGUCUACCAUCGACCACCAAAUCCACUACUCAAUAAGAGAAAAAAUAAAAAGGCGUGCAAAUAGGUAAAGUUCAGCAACAACAACAAAAAAAACAUACCCGGUGGAAAAUAAAAUUUGAACUCUUUAGCAACAACAAAAACAACACAUAGCAAAAAGGUAAAGUCACUCUUUUCCCCCAAAAAAAAUUCUGAAAAUUAUUUUUUAAAAAAUCAAUAAGGACUUGAAAUUCCGCUAAAUUUCCUCCACAUAGCAAGCCUCAUUAGAAAAUAAAAUGAGCUUUUACACUUACAAGUUGUUGAUCAAAAAUUCCAGAGAGAAUCUGAAAAAAUUGAACCACUUGAAACUCUGACCAGUACAUUUGCUCUUUCCAUUUCUUGCAAAUCUUACACUCACUCCUCAUUCUGCUAAAGGAAAAAAACUGAGUGAAAAAAAUGGAAAAUAAGAAUUUCUUUUUUGCAAAUCCUCUAUUCGAUAUAUUGAUAGUUCUAGGGAGAAGUUGAUAAGGUACGGCAUCGAGAUUCGAGACUAGUGGUGUACGAAUUAUGAAAGCAUUGUUUUCGUUGCACUAUAAAUAUGACAAUAAAAUAAGAACAACGGAGAAGGGAAAAGAAAGGAAAUUAUGUGUGCACUAUAAAGAAAAUCAAAAAGAAGAGAAAAGUUGCAAAAUUUUAUAGGAUCUUCCUUAGACCUUCCGGGAGGAACUGAGGUUGGGACAAGAGAAUCAGAUGUUAGGGAAACAUUGUUGCGUCAGUCGAAAUUAGGGCUUAUCUAAUUGAAUCAGAAAAGCACAUACAUGUAAAAUGACGAAAUUCUUUCAGUGAGAGAAUCACUUGUUAGAUUAAAUCCAAGGAUAGGUUUGAUUGACAGGGUGUUGGAUCUAACGAACAACGAGUAGUUUCUUAAUGAGCGAAUUCAGUCCUAUAAUCAUCACGAAAAAUGCACAAUGGGAAGGGAUGUUGGUCUGCUUAGACUGAAGAAGCAGCGGCUAUCAUUUCUGAAAUAUAAAAUCAAGAACAACCUUCGAAUAACAGAGGAAUAAAGCUAUUAAAAAAAGAAUUUUCCAAGAAUAGAAAAUUGUAAUCCCUUUCUGGUGCCAAAUACUUACAUUGGUAAUAUCGAAAAUAAAUGAAAAGAGAUUGGUGUCGACUUCCAGAAAGUCUGAAACUCUUGCCCCCACUAGAUCUUUUAUCUCAAUCGUGUCAUCACGGUAGUAAUGUAUAUCCAAUCUUUAGAUUUUUUCCUUUUCAAUGAAGGCGAUUUCUAUCUUUGCAAUUCUUUAAUUUCUUUCUUAAGCAACUUAUUAGCUUGAAAUCAUUCGUUUCUUUUAAAACUUUUAUCAUUUAGUAGGCUUUCACGUGGCGCAAAUUCAUAUUAGUAUGCACUAAAUAUAAAAUAUAAAAUGGUCAACUAAAGUCUCAAAGGACUAUAAAAUCUACUUCCAUUCCAACUCUAGUACUCUUUUGCCAUUUUCAACUCCCAAUGCUCUUUUUGUUGAUACUCUUUAGACUUUCAAGUCUCUCUAAUUCUCCAAGUUUAUAAUCAACAUUUCUACAAUAAGAUGAAUUCUUAAUUAAAAAAAUAAAAUAAAAAGUGUUCUAUUCUUCAAAGAUUUGAAAUCACAUAAAUAUUCAUGAUUAAAGUCUCCUUAUUUCUCAGUCCUAAGCUAAGUCUUCUUCAAUGACCGAUCACUUUUUAGCAAAUUUAAGUAAAGUCUUAAAGGAAACAAAAGAUUUCAAGCUAACAAGCUGCUUAAGAAAGAAAUUAAAGAGUUGAAAAGACGUUUGAGAAAGAAAAAAUCUAAAGAUUGGACAUACAUCACUAUCGUGAUGACACGAUUGAGAUGAGAGAUCUGGUAGGGCCUUUAGGAAAAUUCAAGAGUUUCAGACUUUCUAGAAGUCGACACUGAUCUUUUUUCAUUUGUUUUUGAAAUUACCAAUGUAAGUAUUUGACACCCAAAAGGGAUUGCGAUUUUAUAUUCUUGGAGAAUUGCUUUUUUUAAUAGCCUUAUUCCUCCUUUAUCCGAAGGUUGUUCUUGAUUCUUGAUUUCAGCAAUGGUAGUCGCUGCUUCUUCAGUCUAUGCACACUAGCAUGCCUUCCUAAUGUGCAUUUUUCGAACAAAGAAGACGAUUAUAGGAUUGAAUUCGCUCAUUAAGAAACCACCCGUUGUUUGUUCGAUCCAACACCGUGCCAAUCAAACCUAUCCUUGGAUUUAAUCCAACAAGUGAUUCUCUCCAUGAAAGAAUUCCGUCGUCUCACAUGUAUGUGCUUUUCUGAUUCAAUUACAUAAUCCCUAAUUUCGACCGACUGAACAAUCUUUCCCAAACAUUAGAUUCUCUUGUUCCAAUCUCAUUCCUCCCAAAAGGUCAAAAGAGCCUAUAAAAUUUGGCAACUUUUCUCUUCGUUUUGAUUCUCUUUCUAGUGCACACAUAAUUUUCUUUCUUUUUCCUUCCUCCGUUGUCCUUAUUGUAUUGACAUAUUUAUAGUGCGAUGAAACCAAUGUUUUCGUAAUUCAUACACCACUAGUUCCGAAUCUCGAUACCGCAUCUUAUCAACUUUUCCCUAGAACUAUCAAUAUACCGAAUAGAGGAUUUGCAAAAAAGAAAUUCUUUAUUUUCCAUUUUUUCACUCAGUUUUUCUUUUCCUUUAGCAGAAUGAGGAGUGAGAGUAAGAUUUGCAAGAAAUGGAAAGAGCAGAUGUGAGGUUCAAUUUUUCAGAUUCUCUCCGGAACUUUUGAUCAACAACUUGUUAGUGUAAAAGUUCCUUUUAUUUUCUAAUGAGGCUUGCUAUGUGGAAGAAAUUUAGCAAAAUUUCAAGUCCCCUCUGAUGUUUUAAAAAAUGAUCUUCAGAAUUUUUUUGCGAAAAAUUGUCACUUUACCUUUAUGCUAUGUGUUGUUUCCAUUGUUAUAGAGUACAGAUUUUAUUUUUACACUGGGUAUGUUGUUGUUGUAGAGUUCAGAUUUUUGAGUGUUAGUUCAGAUUAGUGCUUUCGUCUUGAUAUUCUUUCUUGUGUUCCCCGAUUUCUAGCAGAUUCCAUAUUAGGGCGUGUUAUAAACCAUUGUUUCCUUUUAAGACUUGCCUAUUUGUUUUUUAGCCUUAUCUAUUUGUGCGCUUUCUUAUUUGUUCCUCUUAUUGAGUAGUGGCUUUGGUGGUUAAUGGUAGACUAGGGUCAUGUGAUACGUCGGGGUUAGGAUGGGGUUGUGAUCGAGGUCAGGGUGAGGUCAAGGUCAAGUUCAGGAUCAGGGUCUGGGUUAGGGUUGAGCUUGGGGUUGAGGGUGAAGGGCAGUAGGGAUAAGUGGGAUAAGAGAGCCUAUAGGUUAAGAGUUGGGUAGUGGAACUCUUCAAGGUAAGUCCAUAGAGCUUAUAACACUAUCCACCAAGGUUUGGACAUAUGAAAAGAAAUCACUUAAUGUCUUGCCUCCGGUGAAAUUUAAAUCUGAGACAUCAUGGUUUACUUGUCAAUUGUUGCUUUUACGGAGGCGCUACCCUCGAAGAAUAACUUGUUCACUUGUUCUGCAUCAUUACGAGGAAAAUAAUUUGUUAUGCAUAUAGUUGUAUAAACAUCCCAUUUCUAUCUUGGGUUGUUGUAACAAUAGUAUUGUUUUAGUGUUACUGUAUGUUAGUUCGAUGUCUUGUUCAUAGCAAUUUUCACUAUCUGGAAAGAAAACUAUUCCAAGUACAAAUCUUUACUCUACUGUGUGGUGCUGCAGACUAGAAAACUUUCCAUGUUUCUAUUUGCUCCUUUUGAUUUAUUUGGAUUUUGGCCAAUCUUAGCUAGUUUAUUUCACACAAAACGUGAAUCUUAACAAGGAAUGAUGAAAUUGCAGGCCAUUCCCAAAUUUGCCAACAAUCUGAGAGAAAAGCUAGGAGAUUCUGUUAGACUGACAGGACCUAGUGGCGCAACUUGGAAUGUCGGACUGACUCUAAUUAGAGAUACAUUAUUCCUCAAACAUGGGUGGAAAGAAUUCGUGGGCACGCCCAUUCCCUUGAGGAAGAUGACUUGUUAAUAUUCAAGUAGAAUGGAUCCUCGAGGUUUGAUGUUUCAGUGUUUGAUAGGCAGAGCUCGUGUGAGAGAGAAGCUUCAUGUUUCGUCAAAAAAUGUGGGCAUGCUGAUGUUACAAGUGGAAGCAGGACAAAGAGGCAUACACGUAGAGAAUAUUCUUCACGUGAUGUGUCUGAGGCCCCUCCAACAAAGAAACCUAAGCUUGCAGCGACUCCGACAUCAGAGGACACUAGUAAAUCUUCUUCACAUGAUGAGUAUGAGCCCCCAACAAAAAAGAAAACACUUGCAUCGACUUCAACAUCUGCGGACACUAAUGAAUCUUCUUCACAUAAUGAGUAUGAACCCCCAACAAAAAGACAACUAAGCUUGCAUCGACUUCAACAUCUAGAGCACGGGGUGCUAGAGCUAAUGCCAAGUUGCCGUCCUAGGGAAAUGAAAUGUUAUGUCUGGACUGAACUGGACCAUGCCAGGAACCACAAUGGAGUUAGUAAACUGUUGCAAAAAAUGGGGAGGUAGAGGAAUACAUAAGAAAUGGUGGGGACUAUUCCACCUUUUGUGUGGUGGACUAUAUGGCAAGAGAAGAUGAAAGAGGCUUCGAAGAGAGUUCAGACAUUGAAGACGAACUCUGUAGAAUCCUUAUAUUUUUGGUGCUAAGAAAGAUGUGUAGAAGAUACAGAAUGUUUAUUAAGACUACCUAGAAUCUUUGUAAAAACCUUGUAAGAAGAACGAUGUUUUCUUUUCCAUUACUAGUGUUUUCUCUGUCUUCUGUUGUAAGGAUGGUACGCAGCAUUUCCUUAAUGCAGAUGAGUACAACAUUUUACCAAUUCAAAAAAAAAAUUGGCUUCAACCUAUUUUGUGUCAUUUGGUGUUUCCGAUCAUUGAGCAGAUGCUUUUGACCAGGGUAUUUCUGAUAAUUCGAAGUUCAAAUUCUGUUAGUGCACUGUAUGUCCACAGAAAAAACUGAGUUGCUGCCUUAAUUAUGUAUCUUUUAAGAAACCGAGUAUGCUACAGUCUACUUAAAAAUUAAAACUGGAAAACUUGACUAUUAAGCACACGCACGUAAAAAAAAAUGUGACCAAAUUGGUGAUUUUCCAUGACAUAUAAUUCAUAUAUUUCAGAAGAAUCGUUCUAGACAGAUAGCAAUUAUACAUAACUAUGUUUAAAUGUAAGCUAUUCCAGGAUAUUUGACCUUCCAAAGCUAGACUUGGCUAAUGUGCUGAGACAAAUGUUCCAGCUAAUUUCCCAAAGCAAGCAUUGUAAGAAAUAUAAGCCAUCCACACCAACACAAGAAAAAUUUGAGUGUUUUGGCCUAUUAUGAUCAGUUGAACCAUUUCAACGCGUCAUUCAUGUAAAACAGCUGGUUCUUAAGAUUUUCUUUGCUUCAUCAGCAAUAACUGAGGAGAAGACAAGUACAACUGACCUAGUAAUGGAUGGUAUUGUUGCCACAAGCCAAGAACAUGCAUUUAUCGGAAUCAAAGUCUUGGGUAUGUUUUCCCGAAGCCACAGUAGAGACCCUAGUGCUUCCAGAGUGCCAGUGAUAUACAAAAAACCUGAAAUGACAAUCAUGGAAUAAAGAGAAAAGUAGCAAUGUAGAGCAUUGUAUUCAAGGUGCUCAUUGAUUUAUGAAAUUUAAUAACUAAUGUUGUUUUUCCUUUUCGCUUGUGUGCGCGUAUACUUGUUUAUUUCCCAGUUGGGAGGGGUUUUGAAGGGUAGGGGUUGUUUUUCGUUGUGCUACAAAGGAGCAUGCAUUAAUUUGAUAAGAAAAUUUACCAAUUAACAUUAGCAUCUACGCGUUUCAAUACUUAGUCCCAUGUAAACUCCAGUCCUCAAGCAGCCACCCAAAGAGGUGCCAAUCUAUGCAGAACAGUGUCAGCAAAAGUCCAAUCUGUAAACAAACAAAAAAUAAGUAUAUUGCUGAGAAAGAAAAAUGCUGCCACUUAAAUUAUAACAAUCAUUUUUUUUUUCAAAUGACUACGCGUUUUCUGUACUUCAGCCACUUCCUAACUUUCGCUAAGCAUUCAUUCGUUCCCACAAGAUAUUACAACAGAGUUAAGACUACUCCGUCCACAUAAAGGAGACAGAUUGUCCUCCCUUUUUAAGUUGCCGAACACUAAGGGGCAGCCCGAUGCACUAAAGAUACCGCUAUGCGCGGUGUCCGGGGAAGGGCCCACCACAAGGGUUUAUCGUACGCAGCUUUACCUUGCAUUUCUGCAAGAGGUUGUUUCCAAGGCGUGAACCCGUGACCUCGUAUGGCAGAAACUUUACCAGUUACUCCAAGGCUCCUCUUCUGUGACAUGAAAAUCAAUUCUCAGCAAUACAACUUCAAUCGAUUGUAAAAUACACAACAACAACAUGCCCAGAGUAUUCCCGCACAGUGGGGUCUGGGGAGGUUAGAGUGCACACAGACCAUACCACUAUCUUAGGUGAGGUAGAGAGGUUGUUUCCCAUAGACCCCAGCGAUCGUAAAAUACACCUUUUAAUAAAAUUUGAAAUGAUACGAAAGUUUGCACUUAAUAAAAAAUUAUUGGCAUAAGAAGAAGAAUUUUAUCUAUGAUCAGAAGACCUACAAUCAGAUACACGGACGUGGUUGUCAAUUCAAGGGCAAAACAAGUUAGGGAGCCUCUCAGAUGUAGCCACAAAAUGCUGUCCACAAAAAACACCUAUAACCUAUGUCACCGAGGUCAUAGGUGUUUGUUCAUGAGAAACUAUGCCUGGGAAAGAAGUACCAAUGAUGUACAUCAUGCAUGAAAAGGAUUGUAAGCCACACUUGAUCAAACAAAGAAAGAAAUAACGAAGGGUUAAACUUUAAAGAAAAGAGGAAAUCGAAGAAGGAAUCUUGGUUUAAAUAAGAAAACCUCGACUUAAUCGAAGAAGGAAUCUUGGUUUAAAUAAGAAUUUGGGAUAAUUUGAAAUCACAUAAAUAUUCAUGAUUAAAGUCUUCUUAUUUCUCAGUCCUAAGCUAAGUCUUCUUCAAUGACCGAUCACUUUUUAGCAAAUUUAAGUAAAGUCUUAAAGGAAACAAAAGAUUUCAAGGCUCAAGCUAACAAGCUUCUUAAGAAAGAAAUUAAAGAGUUGAAAAGACAGCAAAACGUCGUUAUUGAGAAAGAAAAAAUCUAAAGAUUGGACAUACAUCACUAUCGUGAUGACACGAUUGAGAUGAGAGAUCUGGUAGGGCCUUUAGGAAAAUUCAAGAGUUUCAGACUUUCUAGAAGUCGACACCGAUCUUUUUUCAUUUGUUUUUGACAUUACCAAUGUAAGUAUUUGACACCCAAAAGGGAUUGCGAUUUUAUAUUCUUGGAGAUUUGCUUUUUUUAAUAGCCUUAUUCCUCCUUUAUCCGAAGGUUGUUCUUGAUUCUUGAUUUCAGCAAUGGUAGUCGCUGCUUCUUAAGUCUAUGCACACUAGCAUGCCUUCCUAAUGUGCAUUUUUUGAACAAAUAAGAUGAAUAUAAGAUUGAAUUCGCUCAUUAAGAAACUACCCGUUGUUUGUUCGAUCCAACACCGUGCCAAUCAAACCUAUCCUUGGAUUUAAUCCAACAAGUGAUUCUCUCCAUGAAAGAAUUCCGUCAUCUCACAUGCAUGUGCUUUUCUGAUUCAAUUACAUAAGCCCUAAUUUCGACUGACUGAACAAUCUUUCCCAAACAUUAGAUUCUCUUGUUCCAACCUCAUUACUCCCAAAAGGUCAAAAGAGCCUAUAAAAUUUGGCAACUUUUCUCUUCGUUUUGAUUCUCUUUCUAGCGCACACAUAAUUUUCUUUCUUUUUCCUUCCUCCAUUGUCCUUAUUGUAUUGACAUAUUUAUAGUGCGAUGAAACCAAUGCUUUCGUAAUUCAUACACCACUAGUCCCGAAUCUCGAUACCACAUCUUAUCAGCUUUCCCCUAGAACUAUCAAUAUACCGAAUAGAGGAUUUGCAAAAAAGAAAUUCUUUAUUUUCCAUUUUUUCACUCAGUUUUUUUUCCUUUUGCAGAAUGAGGAGUGAGAGUAAGAUUUGCAAGAAAUGGAAAGAGCAGAUGUACUAGUCAGAGGUUCAAUUUUUCAGAUUCUCUCCGGAACUUUUGAUCUACAACUUGUUAGUGUAAAAGUUCCUUUUACUUUCUAAUGAGGCUUGCUAUGUGGAAGAAAUUUAGCAAAAUUUCAAGUCCCCUUUGAUGUUUUAAAAAAUGAUCUUCAGAAUUUUUUUGCGAAAAAGUGUCACUUUACCUUUAUGCUAUGUGUUGUUUCCAUUGUUAUAGAGUUCAGAUUUUAUUUUUACACUGGGUAUGUUGUUGUUGUAGAGUUCAGAUUUUUGAGUGUUAGUUCAGAUUAGUGCUUUUGUCUUGAUGUUCUUUCUUGUGUUCCCCAAUUUCCAGCAGAUUCCAUAUUAGGGAGUGUUAUAAACCAUUGUUUCCUUUUAGGACUUGCCUAUUUGUUUUUUUGCCUUAUCUAUUUGUGCGCUUUCUUAUUUGUUCCUCUUAUUGAGUAGUGGCUUUUGUGGUCAAUGGUAGACUAGGGUCAUGUGAUACGUCGGGGUUGUGGAUGGGGUUGUGAUCGAGGACAGGGUGAGGUCAAGGUCAAGGUCAGGAUCAGGGUCAGGGUCUGGGUUAGGGUUGAGCUUGGGGUUGAGGUUGUAGGGUAGUAGGGAUAAGUGGGAUAAGAGAGCCUAUAGGUUGAGAGUUGGGUAGUGGAACUCUUCAAGGUAAGUCCAUAGAGCUUGUAACACUAUCCACCAAGGUUUGGACAUAUGAAAAGAAAUCACUUAAUGUCUUGCCUCUGGUGAAAUUUAAAUCUGAGACAUCAUGGUUUACUUGUCAAUUGUUGCUUUUACGGAGGUGCUACCCUCGAAGAAUAACUUGUUCACUUGUUCUGCAUCAUUACGAGGAAAAUAAUUUGUUAUGCUUAUAGUUGUAUAAACAUCCCAUUUCUAUCUUGGGUUGUUGUAACAAUAGUAUUGUUUUAGUGUUACUGUAUGUUAGUUCGAUGUCUUGUUCAUAGCAAUUUUCACUAUCUGGAAAGAAAACUAUUCCAAGUACAAAUCUUUACUCUAAUGUGUGUUGCUGCAGACUAGAAAACUUUCCAUGUUUCUAUUUGCUCCUUUUGAUUUAUUUGGAUUUUGGCCAUCUUAGCUAGUUUAUUUCACACAAAACAUGAAUCUUAACAAGGAAUGAUGAAGUUGCAGGCCAUUCCCAAAUUUGCCAACAAUCUGAGAGAAAAGCUAGGAGAUUCUGUUAGACUGACAGGACCUAGUGGCGCAACAUGGAAUGUCGGACUGACUCUAAUUAGAGAUACAUUAUUCCUCAAACAUGGGUGGAAAGAAUUCGUGGGCAUGCCCAUUCCCUUGAGGAAGAUGACUUGUUAAUAUUCAAGUAUAAUGGAUCCUCGAGGUUUGAUGUUUCAAUGUUUGACAGGUAGAGCUCGUGUGAGAAAGAAGCUUCAUGUUUCGUCAAAAAAUGUGAGCACGCUGAUGUUGCAAGUAUAAGCAGGACAAAGAGGCAUACACCUAGAGAAUAUUCUUCACGUGAUGUGUCUGAGGCCCCUCCAACAAAGAAACCUAAGCUUGCAGCAACUCCGACAUCAGAGGACACUAGUAAAUCUUCUUCACAUGAUGAGUAUGAGCCCCCAGCAAAAAAGAAAACACUUGCAUCGACUUCAACAUCUGUGGACACUAAUGAAUCUUCUUCACAUAAUGAGUAUGAGACCCCAACAAAAAGACAACUAAGCUUGCAUCGACUCCAACAUCUAGAGCACGGGGUGCUAGAGCUAAUGCCAAUUUGCCGUCCUAGGGAAAUCAAAUGUUAUGUCGGGACUGAACUGGACCAUGCCAGGAACCACAAUGGAGUUAGUAAACUGCUGCAAAAAAUGGGGACGUAGAGGAAUACAUAAGAAAUGGUGGGGACUAUUCCAGCUUUUGUGUGGUGGACUAUAUGGCAAGAGAAGAUGAAAGAGGCUUCGAAGAGAGUUCAAACAUUGAAGACGAACUCUGUAGAAUCCUUAUAUUUUUGGUGCUAAGAAAGAUGUGUAGAAGAUACAGAAUGUUUAUUAAGACUACCUAGAAUCUUUGUAAAAACCUUGUAAGAAGAACGAUGUUUUCUUUUCCAUUACUAGUGUUUUCUCUCUCUUCUGUUGUAAGGAUGGUACGCAGCAUUUCCUUAAUGCAGAUGAGUACAUCAUUUUACCAAUUCAAAAAAAAAACUUGGCUUCAACCUAUUUUGUAUCAUUUGGUGUUUUCGAUCAUUGAGCAGAUGCUUUUGACCAGGGUAUUUCUGAUAAUUCGAAGUUCAAAUUCCAUUAGUGCACUGUAUGUCUGCCUUAAUUAAGUAUCUUUUAAGAAACCGAGUAUACUACAGUCUGCUUAAAAAUUAAAACUGGAAAACUUGACUAUUAAGCACACACACGUAAAAAAAAAUGUGACCAAAUUGGUGAUUCUCCAUGACAUAUAAUUCAUAUAUUUCAAAAGAAUCAUUCUAGACAGAUAGCAAUUAUACAUAACUACGUUUAAAUGUAAGCUAUUCCAGGAUAUUUGACCUUGCAAAGCUAGACUUGGUAAAUGUGAUGAGACAAAUGUUCCAGCUAAUUUCCCAAAGCAAGCAUUGUAAGAAAUGUAAGCCAUCCAGUUCUUCUUCUUCUUCUUCUUCCCCCAGUGGCAGUUUCAGUAUCAAUCUUCAGAAAUCAGGACUGUGUGGUACAGUCGUCUAUCUCAGUAAGGAACUCAGAUAGUUCCAUGUAUUAGUAAAUGAUUAGCUUGUGGUCCUUUGAGGUCAUAAGCACCGUGUGACGUCUCGGGAUGGGAUCCCGGGACAUUACAAUUUGAGACUUCUGAGGCUAUGCCUCGUGGCACAGAUUGGCUUCGUGAUUCGUUGGAUCGUGUUCGAGUGAUUCAGGAUAGGCUACAAGCAGCUCAGAGCAGACAGAGGAGUUAUGCUGAUGGCAGACGUCGUCCAUUGAGUUUUAGAGUUGGUGAUAAGGUCUUUUUGCAAGUAUCGCCAUGAAGGAUGUGAUAAGGUUCGGAAGAAGGGGCAAGCUUAGCCCUAGAUAUAUCGGACCUUUUGAGAUCCUACAGAGAGUUGGGGAGGUAGAUUAUGUGUUGGCAUUGCCACCUGCCUUCUCAGCCAUUCACCCAGUGUAUCCUGUAUCUAUGUUGCGGCAGUAUAUUCCAGAUGAGUCACACGUACUUCAGUGUGACUCGAUUCAGUUGGACGAGGGAUUCACGUUUGUAGUGGAGCCAGCAUCUAUUUUGGCGAGGGAUGUCAGGCGGUUGCGCUCCAGGGACAUUUCGGUAGUUAAAGUUCAGUGGCGUUACCGUCCAGUUGAGGAGGCUACUUGGGAGAUCGAGCGUGAUAUGCGUGCCCAGUAUCCCAACAUGUUUGACCCUUCAGGUAUUUCCUUAUCUUUUACUUUCGCGGACAAAAGUCCUUUUAGUAGUGGAUGCUGUAAUGACCCUUACGGUCAUUUUACUGUAUUUUUAUAUAAUUUUAGUACUAUCUAAAUAUAUCAUGGAUUAUUUAAUUUAACUUGGCAUUUGGUAGAAAUAUAGUUUAGUACUCUUCUAGAAUAUUUUCGAUAUUGGUAAAAUUCGUUAAGUAAUGAUAUAAUUAUAUCACUUUAUAUUAGACUUUUAUGAUUUAUUAAUAUUUUAAACGGAGAUAGUAAUUUUAGAAUUGUGAAAAUAUUAUUAUUAUAUAAUAGAGAUUUUGUUAGAAAUAAUUUUCUAUUAAUUAUGGUAUAUUCAAAAUAUUAUAAUUAUUUUAUCAUGAAUUUAUGUAAUACCCGAAUAUAUAUAUGCUGUGUAGAAAAUUAAUGAAUGUGGCCACCACCGCACACUUGGAAAUGGAUGAUGGACCACAUGUUGCUGCCACUUGUUAGGCCACCAUAUGAUAGAAUUUGCCGUUUCUAAAAGUAAAAAAAAAUAAGAAGAGUGAACUUUCAUUCACUGCUUCUAUACAUAUACUCGUCUAUAUCUCUAUUUUCUCAUAUAUUGGCCUUUCUCGAUUUGCUUCUUUUUUUUUAGAAAAUCAAUUUAAGUUCUUGGUUAGUCUUAUAAAAUUUCAUAUAAAUUAAUUAUUCGAAUCUAUUAUUCAAGCUUGGGUUCUACUAGUAUUAUUCAGAGGCUUCGCAGACAAAUAUUCUAGCUUUGGCGUCCAGGACUUCAUAAUGGAAUGGUUGGGAGAGUUGUUGAAGUUAGAGGGCAUAGAGUCAGGGUAGAAUUGGAGGCUCAGAUGAAUCAUGCUUAUGUUGAUCGAAGUCAAAUUUAUGAGAUUGGGGAAGCGGAUAACUCUAUUUGCCCGGAAGAACACUAUGGUUUGGGGAGUGAAACUCCUGUGUAUUGUCCAAGAACACCACUCCGUCCAUGGAUGACUCCAGCAAGAGAUGCACCUGCAACACCUAUUCAUGAAGGAAUGAGAACACCUAUACGAAGUCGAGCAUGGAAUCCUUGUAGCUAAUUGUAGUACUUAGUAUUCUUCUAGUCCUUACUUAUUCCUAGUUUCUUCUUUCUGAAUGUAAGCACACAUUACGUUUACUCUGCAAUAUAAUAUUUGGUAGUUCGAUAUGCAGAGUUGGAUUUACGCUAAUGGCAACAUUUAUAAGUGAUAAAAGAACAGGUUCUAAUGAAUCUAAAGUAGUAACAAAACUAGUGCUACUGUAUAUCAUACUUUCUACGGUGAAAUAUUGAUUUCUCAUUCCAGAAGUUCCAAUUUCUGUUUUAAUAUAUGCAGAACAGAUGUUUCAUGGAAAUUGAACUAAG